RNAcentral lists this ribosomal RNA (659 nucleotides) under Salmonella enterica. RNAcentral's name for it is "partial 23S ribosomal RNA". It matches the Rfam family "Bacterial large subunit ribosomal RNA", at positions 2144 to 2802 of the family's 2925-position model. Lineage: Bacteria; Pseudomonadati; Pseudomonadota; Gammaproteobacteria; Enterobacterales; Enterobacteriaceae. The record is from RNAcentral. RNAcentral also lists the same sequence under 3 other names.
UAGGUGGGAGGCUUUGAAGUGUGGACGCCAGUCUGCAUGGAGCCGACCUUGAAAUACCACCCUUUAAUGUUUGAUGUUCUAACGUGGACCCGUGAUCCGGGUUGCGGACAGUGUCUGGUGGGUAGUUUGACUGGGGCGGUCUCCUCCUAAAGAGUAACGGAGGAGCACGAAGGUUGGCUAAUCCUGGUCGGACAUCAGGAGGUUAGUGCAAUGGCAUAAGCCAGCUUGACUGCGAGCGUGACGGCGCGAGCAGGUGCGAAAGCAGGUCAUAGUGAUCCGGUGGUUCUGAAUGGAAGGGCCAUCGCUCAACGGAUAAAAGGUACUCCGGGGAUAACAGGCUGAUACCGCCCAAGAGUUCAUAUCGACGGCGGUGUUUGGCACCUCGAUGUCGGCUCAUCACAUCCUGGGGCUGAAGUAGGUCCCAAGGGUAUGGCUGUUCGCCAUUUAAAGUGGUACGCGAGCUGGGUUUAGAACGUCGUGAGACAGUUCGGUCCCUAUCUGCCGUGGGCGCUGGAGAACUGAGGGGGGCUGCUCCUAGUACGAGAGGACCGGAGUGGACGCAUCACUGGUGUUCGGGUUGUCAUGCCAAUGGCACUGCCCGGUAGCUAAAUGCGGAAGAGAUAAGUGCUGAAAGCAUCUAAGCACGAAACUUGCCCCGA